GAUAAUGGCUCAGGAUGAACGCUAGCGACAGGCUUAACACAUGCAAGUCGAGGGGCAGCACAGGUAGCAAUACCGGGUGGCGACCGGCGCACGGGUGAGUAACGCGUAUGCAACUUGCCUAUCAGAGGGGGAUAACCCGGCGAAAGUCGGACUAAUACCGCAUGAAGCAGGGGCCCCGCAUGGGGAUAUUUGCUAAAGAUUCAUCGCUGAUAGAUAGGCAUGCGUUCCA
RNAcentral lists this ribosomal RNA (229 nucleotides) under uncultured bacterium. RNAcentral describes it as "partial 16S ribosomal RNA". It matches the Rfam family "Bacterial small subunit ribosomal RNA", at positions 15 to 240 of the family's 1533-position model. The record is from RNAcentral.